ACCCGACUCCUCCUCCACGCGCAGGGCCAGAGCAUGCGUACCCGACAAGCUCUGCCCUCCUGUGCCUCUCUUCUACAGGUGCCUGUGGGCGGGCUCGUGCAUGGACAGUCCCAGCAAUGCCACCGUGCCCUGUGGCUUUCUCCUUCAAGGCUUCUCCGAAUUCCCGCACCUGAGACCCGUGCUCUUCCUUUUGCUGCUGGGGGUGCACCUGGCCACCCUGGGCGGGAACCUGCUCAUCCUGGUGGCCGUGGCCUCGAUGCCAAGCCGGCAGCCCAUGCUGCUCUUCCUGUGCCAGCUGUCAGCCAUCGAGCUGUGCUACACGCUGGUGGUGGUGCCCCGCUCCCUGGUCGACCUGAGCACGCCGGGGCCACCGCAGGGGCAGCCCUAUCUCCUUCCUGAGCUGCGCCUUUCAGAUGCAGAUGUUUGUGGCUCUGGGCGGGGCCGAGUGCUUCCUGCUGGCCGCCAUGGCCUAUGACCGCUACGUGGCCAUCUGCCACCCGUUGCGCUACGCGGCCGUGGUGACCCCCGGGCUGUGCGCGCGACUGGCUCUGGCCUGCUGCCUCAGGGGACUGGCGGUGUCCGUGGGGCUCACGGUGGCCAUCUUCCACCUGCCUUUCUGCGGCUCCCGCCUGCUGCUGCACUUCUUCUGCGACAUCACGGCGCUGCUGCACCUGGCCUGCACGCGGAGCUACGCCGACGAGCUGCCUCUGCUGGGCGCCUGCCUGGUGCUGCUGCUGCUGCCCUCGGUGCUCAUCCUGGCCUCCUAUGGCGCCAUCGCCGCCGCCCUGCGCCGCCUGCGCUGCCCCAAAGGCCGGGGCAAGGCCGCCUCCACCUGCGCCUUGCACCUGGCAGUCACCUUCCUGCACUACGGCUGCGCCACCUUCAUGUACGUGCGGCCCAGGGCCAGCUACUCCCCGCGCCUGGACCGCACCCUGGCGCUGGUCUACACCAACGUCACGCCGCUGCUGUGCCCACUCAUCUACAGCCUGCGCAACCGCGAGAUCACCGCCGCCCUGAGCAGGGUGCUGGGGCGCCGGCGGCCAGGCCAAGCUCCAGGCGGGGAUCUGCGCGAGCUCUGAUGGCAGGCCCGUACCAGGCAGAGGGGGCCGCUCCGCUCCGUAGAGUUUUCCCCAUCAUGAGGGGUC
Molecule: RNA transcript, 1145 nt
Organism: Homo sapiens (human)
Lineage: Eukaryota; Metazoa; Chordata; Mammalia; Primates; Hominidae
Gene: OR10AC1
Gene name: olfactory receptor family 10 subfamily AC member 1 (gene/pseudogene), transcript variant 1, non-coding
Exons: 1
Source: RefSeq, marked validated